AUGGAGAGUUUGAUCCUGGCUCAGGACGAACGCUGGCGGCGUGCUUAACACAUGCAAGUCGAACGGAAAGGCCCUGCUUUUGUGGGGUGCUCGAGUGGCGAACGGGUGAGUAACACGUGAGUAACCUGCCCUUGACUUUGGGAUAACUUCAGGAAACUGGGGCUAAUACCGGAUAGGAGCUCCUGCUGCAUGGUGGGGGUUGGAAAGUUUCGGCGGUUGGGGAUGGACUCGCGGCUUAUCAGCUUGUUGGUGGGGUAGUGGCUUACCAAGGCUUUGACGGGUAGCCGGCCUGAGAGGGUGACCGGCCACAUUGGGACUGAGAUACGGCCCAGACUCCUACGGGAGGCAGCAGUGGGGAAUAUUGCACAAUGGAGGAAACUCUGAUGCAGCCAUGCCGCGUGUGUGAAGAAGGCCUUCGGGUUGUAAAGCACUUUCAGUUGUGAGGAAAGCUUGUUGGUUAAUACCCAACAGGUAUGACGUUAGCAACAGAAGAAGGACCGGCUAACUCCGUGCCAGCAGCCGCGGUAAUACGGAGGGUCCGAGCGUUAAUCGGAAUUACUGGGCGUAAAGCGCACGCAGGCGGUUUGUUAAGCUAGAUGUGAAAGCCCCGGGCUCAACCUGGGAAUAGCAUUUAGAACUGGCAGACUAGAGUCUUGGAGAGGGGAGUGGAAUUUCUGGUGUAGCGGUGAAAUGCGUAGAUAUCAGAAGGAACAUCAGUGGCGAAGGCGACUCCCUGGCCAAAGACUGACGCUCAUGUGCGAAAGUGUGGGUAGCGAACAGGAUUAGAUACCCUGGUAGUCCACACCGUAAACGCUGUCUACUAGCUGUUUGUGGAUUUAAUCCGUGGGUAGCGAAGCUAACGCGAUAAGUAGACCGCCUGGGGAGUACGGCCGCAAGGUUAAAACUCAAAUGAAUUGACGGGGGCCCGCACAAGCGGUGGAGCAUGUGGUUUAAUU
Molecule: ribosomal RNA, 956 nt
Filed under: uncultured eukaryote
Lineage: Eukaryota
Description: partial Bacterial small subunit ribosomal RNA
Rfam family: Bacterial small subunit ribosomal RNA
Source: RNAcentral